RNAcentral lists this ribosomal RNA (478 nucleotides) under uncultured bacterium. RNAcentral describes it as "partial 16S ribosomal RNA". It matches the Rfam family "Bacterial small subunit ribosomal RNA", at positions 28 to 523 of the family's 1533-position model. The record is from RNAcentral.
GACGAACGCUGGCGGCGUGCUUAACACAUGCAAGUCGAACGGUAAGGCCCUUCGGGGUUCACGAGUGGCGAACGGGUGAGUAACACGUGGGUGAUCUGCCCUGCACUUCGGGAUAAGCCUGGGAAACUGGGUCUAAUACCGGAUAGGACUCCUGGCUUCAUGGUUGGGGGUGGAAAGCUUUUGCGGUGUGGGAUGGGCCCGCGGCCCAUCAGCUUGUUGGUGGGGUAAUGGCCUACCAAGGCGACGACGGGUAGCCGGCCUGAGAGGGUGACCGGUCACACUGGGACUGAGAUACGGCCCAGACUCCUACGGGAGGCAGCAGUGGGGAAUAUUGCACAAUGGGCGCAAGCCUGAUGCAGCGACGCCGCGUGAGGGAUGACGGCCUUCGGGUUGUAAACCUCUUUCAGCUAUGACGAAGCGCAAGUGACGGUAGUAGCAGAAGAAGGACCGGCCAACUACGUGCCAGCAGCCGCCGUAA